RNAcentral lists this ribosomal RNA (253 nucleotides) under uncultured bacterium. Its description in RNAcentral is "partial 16S ribosomal RNA". It matches the Rfam family "Bacterial small subunit ribosomal RNA", at positions 524 to 776 of the family's 1533-position model. The record is from RNAcentral.
UACAGAGGGUGCGAGCGUUGUUCGGAAUUAUUGGGCGUAAAGGGCGCGUAGGCGGGAUGGCAAGUCAGUCGUGAAAUCUCUCGGCUCAACCGAGAAACGUCGGCUGAUACUGCCGUUCUUGAGGGAUGCAGAGGAGACUGGAAUUCCCGGUGUAGCGGUGAAAUGUGUAGAGAUCGGGAGGAACACCGGUGGCGAAGGCGGGUCUCUGGGCAUUUCCUGACGCUGAGGCGCGAAAGCGUGGGGAGCAAACGGG